This 551-nucleotide ribosomal RNA is filed under the name uncultured bacterium. RNAcentral describes it as "bacterial SSU rRNA". It matches the Rfam family "Bacterial small subunit ribosomal RNA", at positions 472 to 1028 of the family's 1533-position model. The record is from RNAcentral.
ACGGUACCGGAGGAAUAAGCACCGGCUAACUUCGUGCCAGCAGCCGCGGUAAUACGAAGGGUGCAAGCGUUAUCCGGAUUCAUUGGGUUUAAAGGGUGCGUAGGCGGGGUGGUAAGUCAGUGGUGAAAUCCUGCGGCUCAACCGUAGAAUUGCCAUUGAUACUGCCAUUCUUGAGUAGGCUCGACGUGGGCGGAAUGUGCCGUGUAGCGGUGAAAUGCUUAGAUAUGGCACAGAACACCGAUAGUGAAGACAGCUCACGAGGGCCAAACUGACGCUGAGGCACGAAAGCGUGGGGAUCGAACAGGAUUAGAUACCCUGGUAGUCCACGCUGUAAACGAUGAUCACUCGAGAUCGGCGAUAUACGGUCGGUCUCCUAGCGAAAGCGUUAAGUGAUCCACCUGGGGAGUACGACCGCAAGGUUGAAACUCAAAGGAAUUGACGGGGGCCCGCACAAGCGGUGGAGCAUGUGGUUUAAUUCGAUGAUACGCGAGGAACCUUACCAGGGCUCGAACGCACGACGACAGGGGUGGAAACAUCCUCUUCUUCGGACG